This is a long non-coding RNA of Oncorhynchus masou masou (cherry salmon), 2510 nucleotides long. RefSeq lists it as uncharacterized. Lineage: Eukaryota; Metazoa; Chordata; Actinopteri; Salmoniformes; Salmonidae. The transcript has 3 exons. The record is from RefSeq and is a predicted model, not a curated record.
GUUUAGGUAGUGCACUAUAUAUGGAAUAGGGUGUAUAGGUAGUGCACUAUAUAUGGAAUAGGGUGUAUAGGUAGUGCACUAUAUAGGGAAUAGGGUGUAUAGGUAGUGCACUAUAUAGGGAAUAGGGUGUAUAGGUAGUGCACUAUAUAUGGAUUAGGGUGUAUAGGUAGUGCACUAUAUAGGGUGUAUAGGUAGUGCAGAGCAGCGAGGGAGGAGGUUGACUGUAUGUUCGACAGGUUAAUUGUUACUGUGAUGUGUUAUUGAUGUGUGAAUCCUAGGGCUCCUUUCAAAAUGAUACAACUAAAUAAUACACCACUGCUAUUUUAUUUAUGAAAUCACAACCAGCUUUUUCCUCUGCCAGGACAUUAUCCCUCCAACCUUCUGCCAGGACAUUAUCACUCCAUCCUUCUGACAGGACAUUAUCCCUCCAACCUUCUGCCAGGACAUUAUCCCUCCAACCUUCUGUCAGGACAUUAUCCCUCCAACCUUCUGUCAGGACAUUAUCCCUCCAACCUUCUGCCAGGACAUUAUCCCCCCAUCCUUCUGCCAGGACAUUAUCCCCCAUCCUUCUGACAGGACAUUAUCACUCAAUCCUUCUGACAGGACAUUAUCCCUCCAACCUUCUGCCAGGACAUUAUCCCUCCAACCUUCUGUCGGGACAUUAUCCCUCCAACCUUCUGUCGGGACAUUAUCCCCCCAUCCUUCUGCCAGGACAUUAUCCCUCCAACCUUCUGUCGGGACAUUAUCCCCCCAUCCUUCUGCCAGGACAUUAUCCCUCCAACCUUCUGACAGGACAUUAUCCCUCUAACCUUCUGACAAGACAUUAUCCCCCAUUCUUCUGUCGGGACAUUAUCCCUCCAUUCUUCUGUCGGGACAUUAUCCAUCCAUCCUUCUGACAGGACAUUAUCCCCCAUCCUUCUGUCGGGACAUUAUCCCCCGUCCUUAUGUCGGGACAUUACCCAUCUAACCUUCUGUCGACAUUAUCCCAUCUAACCUUUCGUCGGGCCAUUAUCCCUCUAACCUUCUGUCAGGACAUUAGCCCUAUAACCUUCUGUCAGGCAAUUAUCCCUCCAUCCUUCUGUCGGGACAUUAUCCCCCCAUCCUUCUGUCGGGACAUUAUCCCCCACAACCUUCUGUCAGGACAUUAUCCCUCCAUCCUUCUGUCGGGACAUUAUCCCAUCUAACCUUUCGUCAGGCCAUUAUCCCUCUAACCUUCUGUCAGGACAUUAGCCCUAUAACACUCUGUUAGGACAUUAUCCCCCAACCUUCUGUCAGGACAUUAUCCCUCUGACCUUCUGUCGGAACAUUAUCCCUCUGACCUUCUGUCGGAACAUUAUCCCUCUGACCUUCUGUCGGGACAUUAUCCCUCUGACCUUCUGUCGGGACAUUAUCCCUCUGACCUUCUGUCGGGACAUUACCCCUCUGACCUUCUGUCGGGACAUUACCCUCUGACCUUCUGUCGGGACAUUACCCCUCUGACCUUCUGUCGGGACAUUACCCCUCUGACCUUCUGUCGGGACAUUACCCCUCUGACCUUCUGUCGGGACAUUACCCCUCUAACCUUGUCAGGACAUUAUCCCUCUGACCUUCUGUCAGGACAUAUUUUCCUUUAUUCUGUCUUUGUUGAAAACAUGUCCCUGUUAGUCUCCACCUGUUGUUUACCAAGCAGGUGACCAAUAGGAUGUGAUUGGAUUUCGCCACGUUAUUUACCUUUUCCUGUGUGCGUGGGGAAAUUACACAGUUCUCCAGUUUUGUGAUUUGCACAAGAUAAUGACUACGAUGUUGCUGUUGAUCCCAAUGGGUGUUAAUAAUGACAUGUUAUUGUAGCUGCGUUCUGUUUUGAGCAUUGUGUAUUUAUCAGUGUUAGUUUGUCCGUUGGUCUGCAAUGAAAAACCCAGUCUACGUCCUAAAUGACACGGCCCUGGCCAAAGGUCGUGUGUGUGUGUGUGUGUGUGUGUGUGUGUGUGUGUGUGUGUGUGUGUGUGAGAGAGAUCAUUGUUUGCAUGGGUCCAAAGUGUGUGCACUGAACUUGGUCAAGUUCUGGGCUUUUGGCGGGUGAAAUAAAUGUAGUGUGGUCUUUAAGUUUGGACUGCUUAUUUGUAAUCAGAAGGUUUGGUAUCAUGUCAUAUUUAAUUGAUUGGUUUGGUAGCAUGUCCUGUCAUAUUUAAUUGAUUGGUUUGGUAGCAUGUCCUCAUAUUUAAUUGAUUGGUUUGGUAUCAUGUCCUGUCAUAUUUAAUUGAUUGGUUUGGUAUCAUGUCCUGUCAUAUUUAAUUGAUUGGUUUGGUAUCAUGUCCUGUCAUAUUUAAUAGGUGGUUUGUGGUGUAUACGGCAGGAAUCAGAGGAUUAAACAGGCCAUAAUAUUGAAUGAACCUGAUUCUGUUGUCUGUCUGCAACCUUCUCAAAGCAUUUUCCAAGACCGCUUCUAUCCAGAACAUUGUAAUGGUGAAAAUAUAUCCAUGUUAUAAGUGUAGCUGCUACAUUCCCUUCCAACAAUAAAAUGGCAGAGGAAA